CGACUAUCUUAAAGGCUUGGAACUCACUUGCGCAUUUUGUUGGUUGAAGUUUCGGAGUAGUCUGUUCUUUAGAGUGAAAUAAAAAAGGUGUUAUCAUGGGACUGUUUUCACGAUUAAAGAAAGCCUGUAAAGUGGAGCGUGUACCUGAACCCCAACCCUGUGUGCUGCUCAAACACACGACCAUCACGGCAGAAAACCACAUGCAUCCUCAUCCUCUUGAUGAGAUUUCUGGUGGUGCUCAUGAGAUAGUUGAUAGGAAAAAUGAGGCAGGGAGACGAGAGAGAAAGAAUAAGAGGUUUUGGAGAUCUUUUCUUAUUUUUUUUUCGCCGAAGAACUGGAAAAUACGACCUGGCUAAGUCUGAGAAAGUGUACCAAAGUGAGGCGGGAUCGUAUAAGAGACUUACCGAUGAUCAGACUUCUCUACAACACAUCCCUAUUGUAGAGAUCCAUGAUCAUCAAGGAGCUCCAGCUUCUGAGGUUCUCCCCGCUCUAGAGAAACACCUGGAGCAGGACCUCCCUCAACCUCAGGACGUCCACACUCCAGUUAGUUUGACUGAAGAGGACAAAUUGGAAGAGCUGGUCUUGGAUCAGCCAUCUCUACAGCACAUUGUAGUGAUCUAUGAUCUUCAUGAAGCUCCAGUCUCUGAAGUCCUCAUCAUUGCUGAGGAACAGCUAGAGCAGGACGUCCUCCAACCUCGGGACGUCGAUGCUCCAGUAAGUUCUGCUGAAGAUGACAAAGCAGAACUGGACAAGGACCAGACUUCUCUACAGCAAAUUGUAGAGAUUCAUAAUCAUGGAGAAGCUCCAGUCUCUGAAGUCCUCCCCGCUGCUGAGGAACAGCUGGAGCAGAACGUCCUCCAACCUCAGGACGUCCACAAUCCAGUAAGCUCCACUGAUGAUGAUGAAGCGGAGGAGCCGGACAACAACCACAUUUUCUGGCAAUAUGAAUUUGGCCCCAAGCUGGGUGAAGGAAGCUACAGCUAUGUACAUGCAGGGACUCGCUGCAAGGAUGGCCUUAAGGUGGUUGUGAAAAUUGCUGAAAAGACUCUGAAUAUGCCAUAUAUAAGAGUUCCUGGUCAUCCCAAACGCCUCCCAUGGAGAUCGGCCUGACACUCAUGGCUAAUAAGGGCCCCAGUGUUCCACAGAUAAUUAAGCUGCUGGACUGGCAGGAGACCACUAUGUCAUGGUCUUGGAGUGGCCCAUGCCAAGCAUGAGCAUGUUUAGUUUUGUGAAGCUCCGACGAAGGCUCAAUGAAGGGAUGGCACGAAAUGUUAUGUGGCAGGUCAUUCAUGCCGCUAACAUUUGCUGCGAGCAUGGAGUCUUCCAUCGAGAUAUAAAGCUGGAGAACCUCCUAGUGAACCCCGACACAUUGGAGGUCAAGUUGAUCAACUUCAGAUGCAGGACGCUCAUGAAGGACUCUGCCUACGUGGCCUUCAGUGGCACAGAAAUGUUCUGUCCUCCGGAGUUUGAUGUCGACGGCAGGUACCAUGCAAAGCCGGCGACAGUGUGGUCAUUAGGGAUCCUGCUGUUUGUGAUGGUGUGCGGGUAUUUUCCAGAUGACAAAGACCUGCACAUGAUCAGUAAGAAUGACUGGUCCAACCCUGACCUGUCACAAGAAUGCUGCCAGAUGAUUUGCUCUUGCCUGCAGCCUGAUCCACAGCGGAGACUUAUUCUGGAGGAGAUGCAGCUCCAUGACUGGUUUAUGGUUGUGUAAGACAUGAAAAACAACAAAAACGACUCCCUGUCACAUCCACUCUGUUAUUUUCUGUCUUCAGUCAGCUUUGUGUCUGGCAUUUGUAUUAAUAUAUUUAUAGGAAAAGGCUAUGUG
Molecule: long non-coding RNA, 1828 nt
Organism: Cyprinus carpio carpio
Lineage: Eukaryota; Metazoa; Chordata; Actinopteri; Cypriniformes; Cyprinidae
Source: Ensembl